This 267-nucleotide ribosomal RNA is filed under the name uncultured bacterium. RNAcentral's name for it is "partial 16S ribosomal RNA". It matches the Rfam family "Bacterial small subunit ribosomal RNA", at positions 92 to 354 of the family's 1533-position model. The record is from RNAcentral.
CGACCGGCGCACGGGUGAGUAACACGUAUGGAACCUGCCCUAUGCAGGGGGAUAAGCGGAAGAAAUUCCGUCUAAUACCGCAUAACACCUUUAGGAGACAUCUUCUUGGGGGUCAAAGGAGGCGACUCCGGCAUAGGAUGGCCAUGCGUCGCAUUAGCUAGUCGACGGGGUAACGGCCCACCGAGGCGACGAUGCGUAGGGGUUCUGAGAGGAAGGUCCCCCACACUGGUACUGAGACACGGACCAGACUCCUACGGAAGGCAGCAG